AUUCAUAAUCGUUUUAAUUUAUAAAUUCAAUCACGCAUUUUGAAUUUUAGAAAUAAAUUAAAAUUUAAAAUUAAUUAUAAGUUUAAAUUUGAAUCAAAUCAAAAGUUAGUUUUAUAUUUGAAUUGUCUUCUCAAUUUUAUAUUUUAAUCUUUUAAAAAAAUUACAUUUAAAAUUUUUGCUUAUUAUUUCCACAUUUUAAUGUAAAUUUAUAAUAUAUAUCUUUUCGUUUGAAUUUAAAUUAUAAAUUCAAUUUUAUGUUUUAAGGUGCAAGCUCAAUUUCAAAUUAUUUUUAUUUUGUAUUUGAAUUUGAAUUUUAUUUUAAUUAUUGAAUGAGAGAAUGAAAAAGAGUUAGAGUGAGAUAUAGAGAGAGAGUUUGAGAUAGAACAUAGAGGGCGGGGGAGAACGUACCAUUGUAUGGAGUAGGGCUAGAAUACUUUUACAAGUAUCACCCAAGUGAUACUUGUGUAUUUUUAGCCCUUGGAUGGAGAGAUGUGAGGUUGAGAUGAUGGGGGUAGAUAGUGGUAGGUGGAAUAGUAUUUGAUCCAAGGGCUAUUUGUAAUCAAAAAGUAGAUCCAAUGGCUAAAAACGUGAUAGCAACAUGGGGAUGAUACUUGUAAAAGUAUCCUAGAUCAACUC
RNAcentral lists this long non-coding RNA (636 nucleotides) under Ananas comosus (pineapple). RNAcentral describes it as "long non-coding RNA (ACOM_LNC043202)". The record is from RNAcentral. Lineage: Eukaryota; Viridiplantae; Streptophyta; Magnoliopsida; Poales; Bromeliaceae.